Molecule: ribosomal RNA, 253 nt
Filed under: uncultured prokaryote
Description: partial 16S ribosomal RNA
Rfam family: Bacterial small subunit ribosomal RNA
Source: RNAcentral
UACAGAGGGUGCAAGCGUUAAUCGGAAUUACUGGGCGUAAAGGGUGUGUAGGCGGAAUAUUAAGUCAGGUGUGAAAACCCCAAGCUCAACUUGGGCAGUGCAUUUGAUACUGGUAAUCUAGAGUACAGUAGAGGGUAGCGGAAUUUCCGGUGUAGCAGUGAAAUGCGUAGAUAUCGGAAGGAACACCAGUGGCGAAGGCGGCUAUCUGGACUGAUACUGACGCUCAUACACGAAAGCAUGGGGAGCAAACAGG